Molecule: long non-coding RNA, 2515 nt
Filed under: Lynx pardinus (Iberian lynx)
Lineage: Eukaryota; Metazoa; Chordata; Mammalia; Carnivora; Felidae
Source: RNAcentral
GGAAGGAGGCCGGGCGCCGACGUAUUUCGCCCGUGGAGAGCCAGGGGGGACGCUGAAGCCCGGCGUCGCAGCGGAGGGGCGCCUUCAAGUGCUGCCAGGGCUCCCUGGGGAGCCAGAUGGCAGCGAGAAGGGCGAGUGGGACCGGGAGGUUUCUUCCUCCCGAGGAAGACAGGCUUGAGAACGUCUGUGGAUCCUGUAAGUCUCUAGAUGCCCCUACCCCCGCCCUCUGCCCAACACAGUAGCCACUGGCCGCAUGAGGCUGUGGAGCCCUGAAACAAACGCGCUAGGCCUGAUUGAGAUGUGCCGAAGGUCAAGUACACCUCGGAUUCUGAAGACUUAGUACACAAAGAAAAUGUAAAAUAGCUCUCUGAUGAUGUUUGAUGUUGAUUACCUGUUGAAAUCGUAAUAUAUUAGAUAUAUUGGGUUAAACGGACUAGAUUAUUAAAAUUAAUUUCCCUUGUUGCUUGUUCCUUUAAGUGGAUACACCACUGGUGCAGAGGUUCUGCAGAGGAAGCGACAACUGGCCCGGUUGCCCUUCUAGCAGCACCAAGGAAAGAAACAGAAGAUGGGUCUCCCAUGUUGAGGCGCCCCCUACCAGGGCAAGGUGAGCCCAAGAAUUACACAGGCAGAACCCUCAACAAGAGCAGGGUUUCCUGGAACGUCUGGAGCAGCAACUCUUGACAGUUUAAAGCCCAUUUUCCCUACCACCUCCACCUCCAACCCUCAGGAAUGGAAAGAUCUUUCUGAGAAGAGGGCUGAUAUCUGUUCAAAAUGUAUUUCUGCUGACCACUGACAUCUGAUGAGAGGGUGAGGGGUAGCCUCUAUCACAAAGCUGUAGGACCUAGAGCUGGGGGGAGGGGGUCUUGGGGCUUCACCGCACUAGCCCUGCCUUUUGGGCUCCAUUUACCAGUCAGGCUGAGGCCCAGGAGACAACGACCUGUCCAGAGAUGGCUGUGUACCCUGGAGUGGAGCCUGGAGUCCAGGCUAAGUCACGAGGGGGGGGGGGGGGGGGGGCAGGGUUCUGCCCAGCCCAUCCAGAGCUGGCAUUUGGAUCUCAGUUCUCUGACAACUGCUUGGGAAAAAGAGACCUUUUAAAAUAGUCCAUCUGCAAAUGGGCCCCUGUGAGGAGCCCUAUGGGAAAGAAGAGGAAGCUUUCAGGCCAGAAUGUGUAAGAACAAAGGGAAGAAACAAGCCUGUUGUGUACAGAGAGGCCACCUGGAGAGGUGGAGACCUGAGUCCAGUCCUGCACUGUGUUUUUCUGGGCCAGCUUCCUCAUAGGUAAGGGAAGCAGCUGAAUGGAUUAAAUCAGCUUUCCCCAAGAAACUCUGGGAUAUAGUGAAAGUGCAUCAGGAAUUCAUAACCUUUCAUUUGGCUUCACUUUAAAAAUUUUGUCUUAGAACUUCUAAUAAAUGUUAGCGGAAACGUGUUAUAUGCCAAAAGUGUUGGAGCCCACUGAUGUACAGUUGACCCUUGAAUAACAUGGGUUUGAACCGUACAGGUCUGCUUAUACAUGCAUUUUUUUAGAUACAGUGCAACACUCUAUCUGUAAUUUCUCAUCCUUAAGAUUUUUUCUUUUUAAAAAAAAAUUUAAAAGGUUUUUUAUGUGUGUUUUUGUUUUUUGUUUUAAUGUUUAUUAUUUUUGAGAGAGAGAGAGCACACGUGGGGGAAAGGAAGAGAGAGAGAGGGAGACACAGUAUCCAAAGCAGGCUCCAGGCUCUGAGCUGUCAGCACAGAACCCAAUGUGGGGCUCCCACUCAGGAACCGUGAGAUCAUGACCUAAGCCGAAGUCGGACACUUAACUGACUGAACCACCCAGGUGCCCUUAUUUUUUUGGUGUGUGUGUGUGUGUGUGUGUGUGUGUGUGUGUGUGUGUGUUUGUAAUCUCUGCACCCAAUGUGGGGCUAAAACUCACAAUCCCAAGAUCAAGAGUUGCAUGCUCUUUUGACCAAGACAGCCAAGUACUCCUCUCCCUUGUGAUUUUCUUAAUAUUUUCUUUUCUCUAGCUUACUUUACUCUAAGGAUACAGUAUAUAGUGCAUAUAAAAUACAAAACAUGUGUUCAUUAACUGUUUUAUGUUAGUAAGCCUUCUGGUCAACAGGCUAUUAGCAGUUAGAUUUGGGGGCAGUAAGAAGUUGUAUGUGGAUCUUCGACUGCACGGAGGAGUCAGCACCCCUAACCUGCAUGCUGUUCAAGGGUCAACUGUAGUUAAAGUCUGACAGAUUAGCUCAUUGGGGAGAAGACCUUUGAAUAAAGCCUUUCCUCCUGUCAGUUUAAAUGAGGGUGGAAGGCUAUUGGAGGGUGAAUAGUUUUAAAUGUACAAGUCACUUAAGCCCUGAUUCAAGAAGAGGGGGCAUGGACACUGCCACUCGAUGGGAGGAAUGAGAAUGGAUUUGUGUGCAUUUUUAAACCACCACAAUUUUGUAACUACUUAUCUGUAUGAAUCAGGAUUUUCCUGAUACUAUGCAGCCAAAUGCAACAAAAAAGGGCAACUGUCAUAUACAAAUCUCAAAAAUUU